Molecule: long non-coding RNA, 1919 nt
Filed under: Marmota monax (woodchuck)
Lineage: Eukaryota; Metazoa; Chordata; Mammalia; Rodentia; Sciuridae
Source: RNAcentral
UCAAAACCACAGUGAGAUAUCACUUCACAUCUGUUAGGGUAAUUAUAUUUUUUUAAAAAUUGGCAAGGAUGUAGAGAAAAAGGAACUCUUGUGCACUGCUGGUAGGAAUGGAAACUGGAACAGCCUUUAUGGAAAUCAGGAUGGUGGUUCCUUAAAAUAUUAAAACUAGAAUUACCAUUCCAGGGCUGGGGAUGUGGCUCAAGCGCUAGCGCGCUCGCCUGGCAUGCGCGUGGCGCUGGGUUCGAUCCUUAGUACCACAUACAAAUAAAGAUGUUUUGUCUGCUGAAAACUAAAAAAUAAAUAUUAAAAAAUUCUCUCUCUCUUUAAAAAAAAAAAGAUUUCCAUUCCACCUGGCAAUCCCACUUCUGGGUAUACAUCCAAAAGAAAUGAAAUCUGUAUCUGGAAGAGGUUAUCUCAUGUUCAUUGCAGCAUUGUUCAUAAUAGCCAAGAUACAGAAAUGAGGUCAUUAAUGGCCAAAUGAAAAGGAAAAUAUGGAAUACACAUACCACACAUGAACUUCAAGAGCAUCAUACCAAGUCAAAUAAGGCCAAACACAGAAGGUCAAAUACUAUAUCAUGUUGCUUACAGCUGGACAAGGUGUAGUUCCAGCUACUUUGGAGGCUGAACAGGAGGAUCUCUUUACAGCAUUGAUUGUAGUAAUGAUUUUACAAGUAUGUACUUAUUUCCAAACUUGUAUACUAAAAUGUUCAGCAUGUAUAUUUUUAAAAAGCAUUGUAUCCUACUCUUGGUAUACCCUAAUUUCUACAACUGUAGCCCUGUUGGGUAUCUCCAUAGUUUUCCUUUUGGUGCUACAAACUAUGAUGCUCACUGAGCAGCUGUUGGAGUGAAUCCCUUGUGCCAAUUACUAGCACUCUGUAUUGAAUCAAAGAGAUAAUGUGUAGAGGUGUUUUUAGAGCUAAUACAAGAUCUUCCUCUUCAGUUCUUAUUACAACUUCAAUAUCCCAUACCUUUACCAGCCAUGUUCCAGCUUUUUCCAUCUCUGAUAGAUCAAAGCAGUCUCAGAUUACAGACUUCUGAAACUAAAUAUCAAAAGCCUUAAGGGCAUGUUCUUAGAUCAGAAAAUUUCCUUCUAGUAUGUGUCUUAGGAAAGAACAUAGGAUAGGGGGUAAGGUGUUCACUGCAGCCAGUUUAGUGGGCUUCCACCUAAAUGCACUUAACACUCUUCUUUUCGGGGCAGGCCAGGGUCACAGGUACCUGGCCAAUUGCAUAGAUCAGAGGCCCUGGGGGUGCCUCCAGCAAUAAUGUAGUAGCACUUGUUUGCCUGGAUGUAUUUCCUCUAAGAGAAAUAUAUGGGGCCUACUCUGGCUAAUGCAGAUGUCCAGGCUCUGCCCUAGAGAGGUGACCAGCCUGGGGAAAAGUUGAUAAUAAUGCAGUUUUAGGAUUUCAUUUUUUAAGAUGGGGAGAAGACAUGCCGUGCAAUUCCCAAGGAUUUUCCCCCAUUUCCUGAAGCAGAAUUGCAGGGCAGGUCCUAAAGGUAGAACCCCUUCCUUCACAAAUGGCUGGAAGUUGAGAGUUUUGGCAGUGGGGCCAAAAGGGUAGGAUGGCUUUCUCCUUAGACUGUGUUCCCACAACCAGGAGCUGCUGAUACCUGACCCAGGGAGUAUCCAGGAGGGAUUCAGAAUACUGAAAACUGCAACCUCUGAGGAGAUUUGAAGGAGCCUGGCAAAAACUACAAAAGAGACUAAUCUCCCUGGCACUACUGUAUGCAGAUACUCCUGCUUGUAACUGGAAAGGAGGAUGGUUCUCCAAAUGGUUUGCCAAAUGCUAGACUUAUAGAUGGGCCAGUGGGACAGUUCACCCAGCCUGAGGUUUUUUGGUUUGUUUUAAAUUUGUUCUAAUUAGUGAUAUAUGACAGAAUGAAUUUUGACACAUUGUACACAAAUAAAGCACAACUUCUC